GAUGAACGCUGGCGGCGUGCCUAAUACAUGCAAGUCGAGCGAACGGACGAGAAGCUUGCUGCUCUGAUGUUAGCGGCGGACGGGUGAGUAACACGUGGAUAACCUACCUAUAAGACUGGGAUAACUUCGGGAAACCGGAGAUAACACCGGAUAAUAUUUUGAACCGCAUGGUUCAAAGGUGAAAGACGGUCUUGCUGUCACUUAUAGAGGGAUCCGGGCUGCAUUAGCUAGUUGGUAAGGUAAAGGCUUAUCAAGGCAACGAUGCAUAGCCGACCUGAGGGGGUGAUCGGCCACACUGGAGCUGAGACACGGUCCAGACUCCUACGGGACGCAGCAGUAGGGUAUCUUCCGCAAUAGGCGGAGGCCUGGCGGGACAACGCCGCGUGAGUGAUGAAGGUCUUCGGUUCGUAAAACUCUGUUAUUAGGGAAGAACAUAUGUGUAAGUAACUGUGCACAGCUUGACGGUACCUAAUCAGAAAGCCACGGCUAACUACGUG
RNAcentral lists this ribosomal RNA (497 nucleotides) under uncultured bacterium. RNAcentral describes it as "partial 16S ribosomal RNA". It matches the Rfam family "Bacterial small subunit ribosomal RNA", at positions 28 to 507 of the family's 1533-position model. The record is from RNAcentral.